Molecule: long non-coding RNA, 1098 nt
Filed under: Bos grunniens (domestic yak)
Lineage: Eukaryota; Metazoa; Chordata; Mammalia; Artiodactyla; Bovidae
Description: lncRNA (ENSBGRG00000003505.1)
Source: RNAcentral
AUGUCUCACCAAGCCCUCACUUCCAACUGUAUUAUUUCAAGUAUAUUCUUGCUCUCCCUGCACUCCUCACUGCUGAAAACAGGGGCAGUGUAUUUACAAAAAAACAGGGACGAUGUAUUUACUCAACACUUACUACUUAAGCACCCCCUUGUCAUUUGUCAAAGUCGCUCGGUCGUGUCCUGCUGUGACCGCAUGGACUGUAGCCGCCAGGUUCCUCCGUCCAGGCAAGAAUACUGGAGUGGGGAGCUGUUCCCUUCUCCAGGAGAUCUUCCCAACCCAGUCUCCCGCAUUGCAGGUGGAUUCUUUUUAACAUCUGAGCCACAGGGAAGCCCAUCAAGCACUCCCUCAGUGUCGUGCAAAAGGAGUGAGGCACACAGAACUGCAAGACUGCAGCAGACAGAAGUGCCUUCAGCCUGCUGUCACCAAACAUGCCACCGUCAGUCCCAGACUGUCCUCCUGGGCUGCUGCUUCUCCUCCACCAUGUCUCACCAAGCCCUCGCUUCCAACUGUAUUAUUUCAAGUAUAUUCUUGCUCUCCCUGCACUCCUCACUGCUGAAAACAGGGGCAGUGUAUUUACAAAAAAACAGGGACGAUGUAUUUACUCAACACUUACUACUUAAGCACCCCCUUGUCAUUUGUCAAAGUCGCUCGGUCGUGUCCUGCUGUGACUGCAUGGACUGUAGCCACCAGGUUCCUCCGUCCAGGCAAGAAUACUGGAGUGGGGAGCUGUUCCCUUCUCCAGGAUAUCUUCCCAACCCAGUCUCCCGCAUUGCAGGUGGAUUCUUUUUAACAUCUGAGCCACAGGGAAGCCCAUCAAGCACUCCCUCAGUGUCGUGCAAAAGGAGUGAGGCACACAGAACUGCAAGACUGCAGCAGACAGAAGUGCCUUCAGCCUGCUGUCACCAAACAUGCCACCUGUCAGUCCCAGACUGUCCUCCUGCGAUGCUGAGACAGGAGAGCCACAUGCAGAUACAUCACUGUUCAGGGCCUGCACUCUGUUUAGGCCCAUUUUUUUCACCCAGGGGUAGUUUCAUCCAACAACUUGAGGGCAGUAGCCCGAUGUUUCUUCGAUAUUUCUCACAGUGUUUAGAUAUUUAA